This 427-nucleotide ribosomal RNA is filed under the name uncultured bacterium. RNAcentral describes it as "partial 16S ribosomal RNA". It matches the Rfam family "Bacterial small subunit ribosomal RNA", at positions 355 to 774 of the family's 1533-position model. The record is from RNAcentral.
UGGGGAAUAUUGCACAAUGGGCGCAAGCCUGAUGCAGCCAUGCCGCGUGUAUGAAGAAGGCCUUCGGGUUGUAAAGUACUUUCAGCGGGGAGGAAGGUGUUGUGGUUAAUAACCUCAGCAAUUGACGUUACCCGCAGAAGAAGCACCAGCUAACUCCGUGCCAGCAGCCGCGGUAAUACGGAGGGUGCAAGCGUUAAUCGGAAUUACUGGGCGUAAAGCGCACGCAGGCGGUCUGUCAAGUCGGAUGUGAAAUCCCCGGGCUCAACCUGGGAACUGCAUCCGAAACUGGCAGGCUUGAGUCUUGUAGAGGGGGGUAGAAUUCCAGGUGUAGCGGUGAAAUGCGUAGAGAUCUGGAGGAAUACCGGUGGCGAAGGCGGCCCCCUGGACAAAGACUGACGCUCAGGUGCGAAAGCGUGGGGAGCAAACA